GGUCCUAAGAAAGAUAUUGGAUCUAUUAGUGUAAGGCCUGUGGAGGAUAAUAUGGGUAAUGGUUGCUGUGAAGGUGGUGAUGUACUGGGCUUAGCUAUAAAUGAAGGAGUAGUAGAACAUAAAAGUAAAGUAAAGGUGAAGAAAACAAAAAUUGGCUCCAAGAGAGAGAGAAAUAGGGGUGAUGCUCCAGUUUAUGAUACUUUGGAAACUUUGGGAUCUCAGAUAGAAGAUCAAAAGGAGGAAGGUUCAUUGCCUAGUGGUUCAAGUCGUUCUUUGGAUCAAAAGGAGGAUGACUCAUUAUCAUGUAUUUUUCUGAAGGCACAAUCUGGUCCAAGUCCAACACAGAAGUCUCACAUGAGUUCAUGUUCAAAACAGAAUAGUAGGGUUCAGAAUUUGGAGGAUGGGUUGAGCCCUACCUCUGAAUGUAUUUCAGAAUUUUCCAAGUCUGUGGUUGCAAGGAUGUCUAGAACUGCUUCUGCCUCAAAUG
RNAcentral lists this unclassified non-coding RNA (487 nucleotides) under Hevea brasiliensis (rubber tree). Lineage: Eukaryota; Viridiplantae; Streptophyta; Magnoliopsida; Malpighiales; Euphorbiaceae. The record is from RNAcentral.